AUUAGUGACCUCUGAGAUGAUCUGUGCAGAGCCUGAACUGAUAGAAGCUUCCGAUCAUGUUGUAUAGCCUGUAUUGAGUGAAUAGCAUGCACCAUUGUGUCCCCUUGUCCCGAGACAGAGAUACCGUCCAUCCAAGUGUUAGGGUAUGAGUCACUCUGAGUAUAAAGGAGGCUAGACGUGGGGGGAUUAACCCCUUCCAGGUGCUGGGGACAGCAAGCAGUGGGAUCAGGCAUCACUACAGGUGAAGAAAUUUCAGUUGUGGAUGCAUCCGUAGACCAAAAUGCAGGAACCUUAAAAUCCACAACGGCGUCUAUACGAGAUAGCAGACGAGUGAUUCGGUCAUCCAAAUAUGAUAGUAGGAGAUCACUCAGGUCCUCAGAGCUUCAGUAGACAUAUUCAGUGAAAAGGGGUUGCUCUUGGUGACUGGAGAGAGAUGGUAGGGGAGGCACCUCAGCUCUGCCCAGCAGCAAACUGAAAUGAUGACCCAGCAGAGAGAUCUAAUACCUCCAAUGUAACGCGGAGUUGCAGCUGCAGACAAAAAUAUUUCUCCUUUAAAAGCAGGCUCCAGCGACUUGCAAGCCUUGGAAGAGGAAUAGGUGAGUGGGAAAGACUUGCACGUUCUCCCCGAUAAUCGCGCUCAUAAAAUGGCGGGCGGUCAUAUGCGCCUGAUACCUUGCAGGCUGGAUUCCGGCAUGAUAAGAGCGGCUCCAGACCCAGGACCCAUACAGUAAGUGGCAAUAGGGUGUUAGAAAGUCUGUACGUGGCUGGGUAAAAGCAAUCCCAGAUUAAAGCUGCAGUUUGGAAGCAGUUUUUUAGCAGCUGAGUCCAGAGCCCAUAUAAAAUGCGGCCACACGUGGUGCCCCGCCCACCGGAAGUCACGAGAAACAUUAUUAAUGCCGAGAGAGAAAACAUUGAAGGACAACAAAGUGUUCACAUGGACUAUCUCAUUUGAUUCCUCGAGCGCAGUGAUUCCAAAGGCCAGUAAGGCCCUGUCGCCUAUAGUAUCGUCAGAUCAAGAUCUGCCCGUCUUCAAGGGAGUACGUCCGAUGGCAUGUUAUUGAAGAGGAAGCAACCUCAGGGAUCUAUUGGUCCAUUCUGACAUAACGGGCUUGAAUUCAGCCCAAAGUAUACCACCUGUAAUUCAUUACAUGACCUCUGGAUACACCUUCCAAAAUCCCCACAUGUCCACGUUGUUCAAGAUCAAUCACGUUCUCUCAUGUGAUUCCAGAUUCGUGGUAUAUUUGAUAAUAUGCCCAUGUGGCCUGUACUACGUGGGAAUGACCACUAGAAAAUUUAAAGAACAUAUGGCCCUCCACCGUUCGGCCAUCAAAGGAGCAUUGGAAGGGAAAAGUGUGGACCAACCGAUGGCAAACCAUUUCAAAGAACAGGCACACGACCUGUCAUCACUUAGAGAGCGGCUCUCCCCCUGUAGCUGCUGAUGGCCGGGUAACAGCGUCAGUGUUGCCACAGCAACCGCCGGGACAUGCAGGGACUGACGUCACUUGAGGGCACGGACUCGUCCCAGUAGUGGAAGCCCGGGCUGCGGUGGCGGGAGGAGCCCGGCUUCUGGAGGGGUUAUAAUCGCCGCAGCCCGGCCACUCGGCGUCCAUGGUUGCUAUGGCAACCGGACGCGACUUCAAUGAUGUCAUCACAAAGAAGCCGGAAACUAAGCGGGAAGCAGCGCGGCCGGGCGUGAUACACGGAGCGGGACCUCUUACUAUUUAAGGAUGAGCCCAAAGGCAGGCAGAACAGGAGGAAGAGGAAGAAGAGUCAUCCUCCUCUCAACCCACCCCCCAUCAAUCACCAUCCUCCUCUUCCUCCUCCCCCUCUCAAACCACCUCCCCCCUCAACCCACCCCCCAUCAAUCCUCUACCUCCUUCUCCUCGGAAACCACCUACCCCCCACAACAACCCACAAACUGCUACCCUUCUCUUCUUCCUCGUCUCCCUCUCAAACCAUCCAACCCUCUCUAUCUUACCCCCCUCACCCUCUCAAUCUGAAGCCCCCUCUCAACUCCCCUCACUCUCUCAAUCUGAACCCCUCUCAACCCCCCUCACCCUCUCUAUUUUACCCCCCCCCUCAAUCCCCUCAGCCUCUCAAUCUGAACCCACCUCCCAACCCCCCUCAGUCUCUCAAUCUGAACCCCCCUCAAUCUGCCCCCCCCUCUCAAUUUGAACCCCCCUCAACCCCCAUAACCCUCUAAAUCUGAACCCCCCUCACCUUCUCAAUCUGACCGCCCCUCUCAAACCCCCUCACCCAUCCAACCUCCAUCACCCUUUCAAGCCCCUUCCUCCAUCCAACCUCCCACCCCCUUUUAACCCCCUUCCCCCAUCUCCAACGACCCCGGAGAGUGGGCCGCACAGGCCACUGAGGAAGUGGAGUAUGCUGGUCAUCCGUCGGGGGACAAUGCUGCAGUUGGACCUCCCAAUGUGGGAAUCGAACAAAUCUGCCACAUAAUGGAGCAGCACUGCCGGGGCCUAAUGCAGGCCAUUCAAAUGUUGAAAAAUAAUUAUAAAUGAUUUUUUUUAAAGUCAGACAAAUAAUGACAACAGUUCAAAAUAAAUAAAUACUUUUUUUUUGUUUAGCUAAA
Molecule: long non-coding RNA, 2590 nt
Organism: Pseudophryne corroboree (corroboree frog)
Lineage: Eukaryota; Metazoa; Chordata; Amphibia; Anura; Myobatrachidae
Exons: 5
Source: RefSeq, a predicted model, not a curated record